This is a long non-coding RNA of Rhincodon typus (whale shark), 318 nucleotides long. RefSeq lists it as uncharacterized. The transcript is spliced from 3 exons. Lineage: Eukaryota; Metazoa; Chordata; Chondrichthyes; Orectolobiformes; Rhincodontidae. The record is from RefSeq and is a predicted model, not a curated record.
GUGUAAAAUGUCCAGCAACUAGAAUUCAAUGAAAUUGUUCUUAUUUUAUUUGAGAUCUUCUGACAGGAUGAACAGUGUCAAAAACUGAAUGAAAUCCAAGUUUAGUUUUAUCAUACAAAGAAAAUAUACAGUUUUCUGCAAUGGAAAUUGAUUUUAAUUCCUGCAAUUCAAUAUUCUGCAAGAUUCAGCCUCUAGUUUAGGAAAAAUGAAUAAUGUUCACAUUUUAUAAUCAGGUUUUACUGUCAUCCAUUUAUAUAUUCCCAGAUGCUAUAUUUUAAUGGUGACUUUAACUCUUAAAAUAAGCCAUGUACAUUUUCC